AUGCUGCAGUCAGGCAGAGGCCCAGAGCAUCCCUCCAGCUGCUCCCCUCCCCCCGGUGACCCACACCAACAAGAAGGUCCAAGUGGAGCAGCCCUUCCAUCACACCCAUUCAUUCUGCCCUACCACGCACUCCACAGCCAACUUGUUGUGGCUUUUCCCACUUUUCUGCAUGCCCUGUGGGAAAGGCACUGCCUGGAGGAGCAGGCUCCACCACAAAAACAGAGCUUUCAUAUGCAAGCCUUCAGAGAAGCAAUCGCUGCCAUCAGACAGUUGGGUCUGAGUUCCAUCUGUGAAACACCUGCAGGCACUGCUGAGCAGCUCUCCCAAGGCAACCCAGGCAGGCUGGCAGGCUGCAGCGGGUCAAACGCAGCCACUUGGCAUCGCUCUGCUCCCACCUGGAUAGGGAGGCAGGCACUCUGAUACAAUGUGUUCCUAUAUUCUAAUAUAAACGUCCACAAAUAUUUGCACACAGCUUUCCACAAGCGUUCUGGCAGUACAAUGUAAUUACUUGAAAGUUUUCGGAGAGCAAACACAAAAGUAUUGAGAACUGGCUUAACAGAUCCAUUAAAAAACUAAACAAACACCACGUGUAUUUUGCUCCUUCCAUGGCAACCUGCCGUUCCUCUUAUCACCAGCUUCCCACUGUGCUCUGUGCAGCACAGCAGCCCCCUGCUUGCAGCUCUGGCUCUGUGAAGGAAGUGCAAAGGCAAUGCAACCUCGCUGCAGUGCUGGAGAGCACUGGGGAACACUCAGGACAAGCCUGUAGCCACAGAGUCAUUCAACUGAAAGUAAAGUAACUUGGAAAUGACACCAAAACAGUGACCUGUCACUUGCAUUUUAGAGUUUGGGCAGGAAACUCCUCAUGAGACUGUUCGCCAGAGCAAAGCAAAUUAAAGAAAUCCACAGCAGCUGUGUUAGUUGCUUUGACUUCUUAACCACAACGUAUCCAAGUGAACCCAGUUUUCAAUCUACCCAAGCUGCUGCAGUGUUUUGGUUUUUUCCCCUCAAUCUGAAGUUUUGGCAUGCAAAAGGACACAAGAGGGAGACCCUUCCCAACAGUCAGAAAGCCACCUGUGAGUUUCUCUUUCAGUUAUCUCAGUCAGAUGGCUCUGGGGAGCUUUUAUUUCAUUUUACAACGAAUGCACAUUUCAGUUACCCAGCUAAAUCGCUGCAUGUUAGGUAAAUAAAUAGUCCUUUUUUUGUAAUGCUGGACACAACCUGUGAAAAUUUUCUGCAUUUAGAUUCAACAAUGCUCCUCUUAUCUACAGCUCAUCUCAAGAGAGACAAUUACCAUUUCCUCUGCCUUGAUCUUGUUUGUUUAACUUGACACAGUGAAGAAAGGGCUGACAUUGACCAAAAUCCCCAGCAUUAAUUUAGCUCAUGUUCAGCAUUCAUCAUUGCCACCAUGCAGGAAAGACAUGGCACUCACUUGAAAUACCACACCAAGAAAGACUCCACAAAAACAAAGCUGGUUAGCAAACUGCUUAUGCAAGAGGAGGACAAACACUCAGUAGCACCUUUAAUUUUCUCAUUUUAAAGCCCUGCAAAAAGCAGACAUACAGGUUGCCAACGUAAUGUUCAUACAAAUGGAGGUAUUGCUUCUCAACCCAGGACUUACAAUGGGACAACAUGGACUACAUGUCUUCUAACCAUAAGCUCCUCCUUUACAGUUUGCCAGGCUAUUUUGAACACCGCAGUCAUUUUUAACAGGGUCAGGUAUGUGUCAGCAUGCAUAACUACAAUGUCUUCCAAACAAACAACCAUCUUACUUGGAAUAUAAUUAAACAUAAUUUCUGUAUAAAAAAGCCAAGUUCAGAUCUGCACUGUGGCAUACUUUGAAAAUGUGACCUGUUCUUUGGGUUAAUUGCUCCUGCACAGAAAAUAUCCUUGAGUUUGGAAGGUGCUUAAAACUAGCUGUGUGUGUCAUUUCUGUCCCGUGCUCUGGCAAACAGCAUCAGCAGGACUGUGGUACCCAACAGCACUCACCUCCUCCCCAGCACAGCUCUUCUGCUCAGGAGGAGGAGGGGGACUGAACACCUGUGCCUACAGUUAUAACAGUUACAGUUUCUUUGGAACAGAGAAAUUCUUACCUGCAAAAACUCAAUGAGCUCCACCUGCCCGUUUUUGUUCAGAUCUACUUCAUGCAGAAUAUCGUGGAGUGUUUUUUCAUCAAUCUGCACAUUGAUGCUCUAGACAGAAAACAAACAAACAAACAAACCCAAAAGCCAACUUUUAGCAGGGUCAGUUAAGCAUCAAGGUACGUAACCAUAAACCUUCCAAAAAACAACCAUCUUAUUUUGAACAUCAUUAAACAUAAUUUCUGUAUUAGAAAGCCAAAUUCAGAUCUGCACCACGGUACACUUUGCAAUCUGGACCUGUUUGAUAGACAACAAAGUACAUCAACAGCAUUGCUCAGCACUACUUAUGCCACAUUGCAAUUAAAAANNNNNNNNNNNNNNNNNNNNNNNNNNNNNNNNNNNNNNNNNNNNNNNNNNNNNNNNNNNNNNNNNNNNNNNNNNNNNNNNNNNNNNNNNNNNNNNNNNNNCACCCCCCCAUGACAUUCCUGAAAGCAGAGGCGAGGUGCUGCAGUUCCCUGUGUGCAGGCACAGCGCUGUAGCCAGCACUCAGCCUCGUCUGCACUCAGGGCAGCUGUACAAAAUCCUGCUGUGCCGCACAGGAGCAGAGAUCCACGACAGUAAAACACCCACGGCGCAAAGCAGACUCGUAUGGAGGACACGUGUGUAGCCAAGGAAACCCCAAAGUCACACUGUGUGUGUGGCGUUACCAAACCAGGAGCGAAGGACGAAGUCUGGGUGCACAGCAGAACAUCCUGGCUUUACAGGGAAGCUCGCAGCGUUCAUUCUUAACAGUUCCAUUUACAGAGGAGUGGAGGAGAAUUUUUCUUCAAACCGCACAAAAGUUAUUUAAUAUUUGAAACAUUUUUCUUUACGUGGUCUGGAAAAGGUCUCACGACUUUAACAGAUACAUCUGUUUAAAUAAUACAGUGAACCGUGGGCUCCCACCCUGCCCCCCUCCAACCUCCCUCCUGCUGCUGAGCCCCAAGACACCCACUUCCACUCCAUGCUGUGCUGUGUGUGAUGUAAACUCUCUUACC
Molecule: long non-coding RNA, 3115 nt
Organism: Meleagris gallopavo (turkey)
Lineage: Eukaryota; Metazoa; Chordata; Aves; Galliformes; Phasianidae
Source: Ensembl